This is a long non-coding RNA of Mytilus trossulus (common blue mussel), 490 nucleotides long. RefSeq lists it as uncharacterized. The transcript has 4 exons. NCBI's taxonomy places the organism in Eukaryota, Metazoa, Mollusca, Bivalvia, Mytilida, Mytilidae. The record is from RefSeq and is a predicted model, not a curated record.
UAGGUUUGAUAUUUGCUAACAAAGAAUAUCUGUUUAUAUCUACACUGAAAAACGUGGAAACCACGACGGAAAAUGAAUCAACUGCAACAUCAAUUUUCAGGACAGCAUUUCAAGGGAUACAAUCUUUCCUCGUGAAUAACUGGAGAAGAUCAAGAAUUACAUUGGUGUAUCUCAUUUCACUUAUAGUUUUGUUUAUAUCGAAUGUUGGUUUACUUGGAAUAGCAAUAAACAUAAGAUAUGAUACUGUGUUUGGAAAUUCAGAUAUCCAGGACAUACUUUCGAGAUUUAGUAUAGCAAAUCACACUUUCAGCAAAGCUCUCAACACGUUUUCUAUCGUGGUUUCAACUUUUUCGUCAUUGUCGAUUGUUGCAAUUAUCUACUCUGUUGUUGCCAUUGUUUCAUGGAGAUGGAGGAGAAUAUUUUUAUAUACAAGUGCUGGAUUGUGGAGUGUUAUAUUGGUUGCAAAUAUAGUACAGAUAGGUCUAUGGGG